GACUUGAAAUGCCAAACCUUGAGCAAUCAGGGGACGGAAAGCCAACGGGACUUGGGUUCCAAUGAAUUCCAAUGAAUUGACUCCGUCUGUCAUUGAAUCUGCUUUCCCUUGUUAAUAUAGUUUCUCCACAAGAUGUUAUUCUCCAAGUUGGCCGGGUUGCCGUU
This is a regulatory RNA element of 164 nucleotides. It matches the Rfam family "c-di-GMP-I riboswitch aptamer". From Rfam's summary of the family: GEMM was predicted in a large-scale screen for bacterial structured RNA regulatory elements. The record is from Rfam.